UGAGCUUGAUCCUGGCUCAGGAUGAACGCUGGCGGCGUGCCUAAUACAUGCAAGUCGAGCGAAUGGAUUAAGAGCUUGCUCUUAUGAAGUUAGCGGCGGACGGGUGAGUAACACGUGGGUAACCUACCCAUAAGACUGGGAUAACUCCGGGAAACCGGGGCUAAUACCGGAUAAUAUUUUGAACUGCAUAGUUCGAAAUUGAAAGGCGGCUUCGGCUGUCACUUAUGGAUGGACCCGCGUCGCAUUAGCUAGUUGGUGAGGUAACGGCUCACCAAGGCGACGAUGCGUAGCCGACCUGAGAGGGUGAUCGGCCACACUGGGACUGAGACACGGCCCAGACUCCUACGGGAGGCAGCAGUAGGGAAUCUUCCGCAAUGGACGAAAGUCUGACGGAGCAACGCCGCGUGAGUGAUGAAGGCUUUCGGGUCGUAAAACUCUGUUGUUAGGGAAGAACAAGUGCUAGUUGAAUAAGCUGGCACCUUGACGGUACCUAACCAGAAAGCCACGG
RNAcentral lists this ribosomal RNA (508 nucleotides) under Bacillaceae bacterium CL3.37. Its description in RNAcentral is "bacterial SSU rRNA". It matches the Rfam family "Bacterial small subunit ribosomal RNA", at positions 1 to 496 of the family's 1533-position model. Lineage: Bacteria; Bacillati; Bacillota; Bacilli; Caryophanales; Bacillaceae. The record is from RNAcentral.